GACAGAGGGUGCAAACGUUGCUCGGAAUUACUGGGCGUAAAGCGCGUGUAGGCGGACCAACAAGUCAGGCGUGAAAUCCCUGGGCUCAACCCAGGAACUGCACCUGAAACUGUCGGUCUUGAGUGGUGGAGAGGGAAGCAGAAUUCCUGGUGUAGAGGUGAAAUUCGUAGAUAUCAGGAGGAACACCGGUGGCGAAGGCGGCUUCCUGGACAAUAACUGACGCUGAGACGCGAAAGCGUGGGGAGCAAACAGG
This 253-nucleotide ribosomal RNA is filed under the name uncultured bacterium. RNAcentral describes it as "partial 16S ribosomal RNA". It matches the Rfam family "Bacterial small subunit ribosomal RNA", at positions 524 to 776 of the family's 1533-position model. The record is from RNAcentral.